CGAGUUCCCGUACGAUCACUGAAGUUAAGCAACGUCAAGUCUGGUCAGUACCAAGAUGGGUGAUCGCUUGAGAGUACCAGGUGCUGUAAG
Non-coding RNA from Acanthosepion pharaonis, 90 nucleotides. Lineage: Eukaryota; Metazoa; Mollusca; Cephalopoda; Sepiida; Sepiidae. The record is from the annotation of a GenBank genome assembly.